This 238-nucleotide unclassified non-coding RNA is filed under the name Glomeraceae sp. RNAcentral describes it as "partial internal transcribed spacer 2". The record is from RNAcentral. Lineage: Eukaryota; Fungi; Glomeromycota; Glomeromycetes; Glomerales; Glomeraceae.
GUGAAUCAUCAAAUCUUUGAACGCAAAUUGCACUCUUCUCUAUGAGUAUGCGUAUUUCUGGGCCAGCCUAUAAUAUACCGACAUCGUUGCUGUUUCGCGGUGGCGUUCGUCGGACCUUGUGUCAUCUUACAUCUCUUGGUUUUAAGCGACUUAAAAUUUUCUUUUUGGUUCCAUGAACGUUUCUAAGAUUUAUUCCUUUACACGUUUAAGGUAUCGAUUCUUCUUAGACGUGUUUAUC